RNAcentral lists this ribosomal RNA (3778 nucleotides) under Triticum aestivum (bread wheat). Its description in RNAcentral is "partial small subunit ribosomal RNA". Lineage: Eukaryota; Viridiplantae; Streptophyta; Magnoliopsida; Poales; Poaceae. The record is from RNAcentral.
CGGGCGGCCGGCCCACUGCCCCCAAAUCUGCAGCGCCCCUCCUCCUCCCUUUGGUCUCCUCGCUGAGCCCAUGGCCGCCUCGCCUCACCACCGGACCGCCGCCCGUCCGGCGCGCUUCCUCCUCUCCUCUCCUCCCUCCCAUCCACUCCUCUUAUGGAGCUGCGCCCACCCAUGCCUCCGCCGCGGGCGCACGAAGAGCGCCGGCUGUCCGCCGCGUCGGCCGCCCCACCAAAUCUGAAGUGCUCCUCCACCGGAGCGGCGCCCGUCCGGCCUCCUCUCGCUCCUCCGGGCACAUCCUCCCGCUCCCUCCUCCGGGCACCUCCUCCCGCUUCGCCCAGGGCGCCCACGGCCAUACAUGUGCCAUCCACCCUGCCCACCAGCCAUGCCUCCGCCGCGCCAUAGGCAGAGCGCCGGCGCCGCGCUACCUCCUCUCCCUCCUUCCGCUGCGCCCACGACCCCCACGCAUCCAGUGUGGCGAACAUGCCCGUCGCCACCCCUGUACGCCUCCUCUGCCGCCGCCAGGCUGACUCCCGGCCCCACCUUGAAGCCGCCGCCGCUGCACACCACGCGCUGCUCUCCUCGCUCGCGUAUCGCCCCGCCUCAUGGCACACUUUCCUCAGCUCCGUGCGUGUAGGCGUAGUUGGGACGCGGGUUGCCCGCCAUGGUCACCGUCCACUCUGUACACUCUGCUCCGCGGCGAGUCGAUGAUGAGGAGCCCGAUUCAAAGGUGAGGAGAAACUGAUGGUUUCCUCUUUAAAUUCGGUGCUCCACCUGAACUCACUUUGUAACAAUCGUGGUGGGCUUCUGCCAUACCACUCAUACCCGUACCACUGGUACUGGACGAAUUGGACGCCAGGGCCCCCAUCUUGGUUGUUCUUCCCCAGCUGCAUACGGAAGAGCCUGGAAUUUACGGCACCUAUAGGUGUUAGGCGAUUUGGACACCGGGGUAGUGAUCUUGGUUGUUCUACGGUCGCUACAUAGCCAGACAUCCAAUCCUAGAGGAUAUCUGAGAUAUGGAGUCAAGUACAGCACUUAAAAGCAUCACUUCAGGACAGCAAAACUGUAGGGUCUUUGCACGCCUGAUAAGGCUUUGGGAUGCUAAAAUAAUUAAUCCCAGAUAUGGAGAUGGCUUGCUAAGCAUUGAUGGCAUUCUCUUAGAUGAAGAUGGCAACAUGGCACAGAUGAGUGUGCCCAAAAAAUAUGAAAAACAGUUUCGUGGAUUGCUAUCAGAAGGAUCUGUCUACAUUAUUUCAGAUAUUGUGGCUAUUGAUAACAAAAGCAAAUCAUAUGUCUACCACCAUCAGAACUACAUGUUGCAAUUCAAACAUGACACAAAGGUCCAUGCAUUGCACUCAAGAGGAGCAAAUAUACCUACUGUUUCCUUCAACUUUUGUCCAUUUGAUCAGCUGCCAAGAAAAGCAAUUGAUUCAAAACCACUCCUAGAUAUUAUUGGAGUAAUAAGUGAUGUUAGUCCAUACGAUUAUGCUACCCCAACAUCUCAGAACAAACUUCGGAAGAUAAAAAUCCGAAACCUAGAGUAUGUCUUUCUUGCAACGAUGCCACUUAUUUUCUUCCGCAAAGACCCUUUUUCCUGCAAUUCUAUAAGUAUACCUUGCUUUUCCAAUGAACAAACGCAAGAAGUAGUUCUAUGGGGCAAACAUGGAGAAUCAUUUGAUGAAGAAGCAAUACUUAAAAAAUCUCUAGAAGGAAUUGUGAUAGCUAUUUUUGCUGGUAUAACUGCAACUUCACAGAAGUUUACAGGUACAAUACAAGGAUCUUCAAGUUCGGCAACACAGGUGUAUCUUGACCUCAAUAUACCUGAAGUUCAACACUAUCGCAGCAGCUACCAAUGGAAAUUUCCAACUCUACAAAAGAAUCUCCCUAAAGUCGCACAUCUAUCUCCACUUGAAGCAGCAGGCAAGCUGUAUACCAUUGAACAAAUAUCUACCUUGCCAACCACAUCUUUUCAGGGAGGAGCAACAUUCAGUACUAUUGCAAAGGUGACAUCCAUUAUACCAUCAGUCAAAUGGUACUACAAAGCAUGCAAGCGGUGUGGAAAAGAUUACAACAACAUGUCAGAUACCCCAACAUGCGCCUGCCAAUUUCCUGUUCCAUGCCCAAUGUAUAAGCUCCCCCUUACACUAACAGAUAGCUCAACAAGUUUAGAUGCAGUUGCAUUUAAUAAAGUAGCUGAAGACUUGGUUGAGCGUCAUGUUGAGCAAGUUUCUAUGAACAUGAAAAUAGAUGCUGUGGAUCAGGUGCUUUCCCUGGAUAAAGCCAUUGGUAAAGAAAGGUUAUUCUAUAUAGGAAUGAAUAUUGAUUCAACUGCCAAGUACCCUAUAAAAUGUCCUGAAAAAAACUUUCCCCGUGGACAAUACCAAAUCGGUUCCUCUAUUAACUGCUUCAAAGUCAGCACAAGAUAACCUUGCACCAACUUCAUCUGUCAUAAAUGCUGAGAGUCCAAGUGCACAGCAGCCAGAGGCCCCCUUGAACAAUACACCUCCAAGUGAUAACCGCACACCUAUCAUUACAAAGGAAAGUGAAUCCAGUUCCGAAGUAAAAAGAAGGAUUGAUUUUGACAAGGAUGAUGCCAACAACUCUAACAGCUCAAAAAGCACAGAUAGUCCUCUUUCGAAAAGGCAAAAGCAGAGUGAGAACAAUAAAAAUGCAGCAAACAACUAUGAAAAGACAGACUAAAAUGAAAGUGCAUACAAAGGCAACUUCCACAAUACUCAUACAAGCAGCUUCCACAAUGCUCAUACAGCCAACUUCCACAGUGCUCCAAAAGACAAAUAAUCAAGAAUGUUCAACUUCCACAGCGCUUUGACACUGCCAGCCGACAACAAUAUUUUUUUUUAUUGCUCAACUUCUAUUGUGACCGAGAAUGUUCUCAUACCCAUUACCUUUAUAUUGUAACCGAGAUGUCUACUCAUGGGUACUUUUGGUUUCAUGCAAGCGACUUCAAAGUUUUCUGGCAAUAUUUGCAAUUUUGUGCUUACCAACAAUGGAUACACUCCUAUAAAUGGGCCAUAAUAUUUUUUUUGUAAACUGUACAAUCGUGCAUGCAUGUAAAAUAUUUAUUCCUACAUUAACACCUCAAAUGGCUGUUCUUACAAUCACAGUGUAAGUCACAAUUGCAAGUUUCUAAAAAUUCAUUGCUCGGUUAAUUCUGUAUUAAAGGUUACUAAAAAAUAUUUCGGUUAGACACUAUAAAUACAUUCAUUGCUCAGUUAAUAGUGUAUAAAACAUUUCUAAAACAUCUUUGGUUAAAAACUCUUAUGGUUGUAGUCCAACUAUAUAAUACCCCCCCCCCUCCCAUACAACCUAUAUCUACAAGCAAAUAUUUUCUCACACUGAAAACUUCACUAUUGUCAAAUACAUGGACAAGCAGCAACAAGGCAAAAGGUAUGUCUAUUACAUGCAAAGUUAUUUCGCCGGUUUCAUGUAUGAUAUUUCACAAUUUGCCCGCAUACUUUUCUACAGGAUGCAACAUUACACAACAAAGAAUGUUCUACCCUCUUCAUCAACGCAUGCAUCAAGAAAAACUCACAAGAAGUACAUGGAGGCUAUUGCAGACAUGAAAAAUGCCACCACCAAAUCCGCAACAUGGAUCACUUUGAAAGAGGACGCACGUGAAGACAAUAUCACAAAGCUACUCCAGGAACAUCCAUUCAGGUCCACCAAGUACAUCUUUGAGUACAUGAAGAACGGAUUUAAACAUGUCCAAAUUCUCCUCGAUGAAGAAGACAACCGCGUGGACGACUCUAACAAACUAUAA